RNAcentral lists this ribosomal RNA (466 nucleotides) under uncultured bacterium. RNAcentral's name for it is "bacterial SSU rRNA". It matches the Rfam family "Bacterial small subunit ribosomal RNA", at positions 330 to 794 of the family's 1533-position model. The record is from RNAcentral.
UCCAGACUCCUACGGGAGGCAGCAGUGAGGAAUAUUGGUCAAUGGCUGCAGGGCUGAACCAGCCAAGUCGCGUGAGGGAUGACGGUCCUAUGGAUUGUAAACCUCUUUUGUCAGGGAGCAAAGGGCGCCACGUGUGGCGUUUUGCGAGUACCUGAAGAAAAAGCAUCGGCUAACUCCGUGCCAGCAGCCGCGGUAAUACGGAGGAUGCGAGCGUUAUCCGGAUUUAUUGGGUUUAAAGGGUGCGCAGGCGGAAUGUCAAGUCAGCGGUAAAAUUUCGGGGCUCAACCCCGUCGUGCCGUUGAAACUGGUUUUCUAGAGUUGGAGAGAAGUAUGCGGAAUGCGCGGUGUAGCGGUGAAAUGCAUAGAUAUCGCGCAGAACUCCGAUUGCGAAGGCAGCAUGCCGGCUCCACACUGACGCUGAGGCACGAAAGCGUGGGUAUCGAACAGGAUUAGAUACCCGCGUAUA